RNAcentral lists this ribosomal RNA (546 nucleotides) under uncultured bacterium. Its description in RNAcentral is "bacterial SSU rRNA". It matches the Rfam family "Bacterial small subunit ribosomal RNA", at positions 9 to 522 of the family's 1533-position model. The record is from RNAcentral.
GAGUUUGAUCCUGGCUCAGGACGAACGCUGGCGGCGUGCUUAACACAUGCAAGUCGAACGGAGAUUAUUAAUGAAGCUUGCGAUUUAAUAAUCUUAGUGGCGGACGGGUGAGUAACGCGUGGGCAACCUACCCAUAAGCGGGGGAUAACAGUCGGAAACGACUGCUAAUACCGCAUAAGCUAUUAAGGUCGCAUGACCUAAAUAGUAAAGGUGGCAUUUUAACAGUGCUAUCACUUAUGGAUGGGCCCGCGUCUGAUUAGCUAGUUGGUGGGGUAGCAGCCUACCAAGGCAACGAUCAGUAGCCGGCCUGAGAGGGUGGACGGCCACACUGGGACUGAGACACGGCCCAGACUCCUACGGGAGGCAGCAGUGGGGAAUAUUGCGCAAUGGGGGAAACCCUGACGCAGCGACGCCGCGUGAGCGAAGAAGGCCUUAGGGUCGUAAAGCUCUGUUGUAAGAGACGAAUGUUUGUCUGGCGAACAGCCAGAUAAAGUGACGGUACCUUACCAGCAAGCCCCGGCUAACUACGUGCCAGCAGCCGCGGUA